Poecilia reticulata (guppy) is the source of this 552-nucleotide non-coding RNA. The record is from RefSeq and is a predicted model, not a curated record. NCBI's taxonomy places the organism in Eukaryota, Metazoa, Chordata, Actinopteri, Cyprinodontiformes, Poeciliidae.
UUAAUAAUAAUGUUUGUUUGUUUGUUUAGGUGCAUACUCUGAGGAUGCAGAUCAUUUCUCAGAAUCAGGGAUUAUAAGUGAUCUUAUUAACAAUCAGAAGACACACCAGCCCCAAAGAGAACCAGAGUUCAUACACGGUAGUUUAACUGUUUUACUGCAAUAUUUAUGGUAGCACGACUACUCAGUGCUGACUAUGAGUUUGUAAUUUCCUUCAUCCGUUCCGGAAACAAUCGCUUGAAUUUUAAACUCUUAUACUUUUCUGUAACACUUACUAGUGUGAUACAUUUCAGUAAAUGCUCCUCAUUUGUAAAUGUAUUUAUUAAGAAUAUGUGACAGGUAGUAAACCGACCUACAAGAGGCUAUUCAAAUUUUACUUUUAGCUUUCUGCAGUUAAAGUGAAAGACAAACUCUAACAUCACUGCCUUUCCAGAAUUUGUUCUCGCAUCAUUGUGAAUGCUACUUUGCUUCAGUCUUUUUCCUGUUGUUGAAUUAACACUGAUCUUCUCAGUGCUUCAUGCUUUCUCCAAAAUAGUAAAAGCUGGUUAAAGUACA